Molecule: long non-coding RNA, 2711 nt
Organism: Sparus aurata (gilthead seabream)
Lineage: Eukaryota; Metazoa; Chordata; Actinopteri; Spariformes; Sparidae
Source: Ensembl
AUUAUCAAAUUGAGUUUCAACAGCAAAAAAAUAAAACACUAAUCCUCUGAAAGGUUGGAUAAGACGUUUGCAGAUGACAGAUGUGCUUCAGUUGUGUGUGUUUUUGUGUGUGUGUGUGUGUGUGUGUGUGUGUGUGUGUGUGUGAGUGAGAGAGAGAGAGAGAGAGAGAGAGAGAGAGAGAGAGAGAGAGAGAGAGAGAGAGAGAGAGAGAGAGAGAGAGGUGAAUACUUAUAUCCAUCCUAUAAGUGUGUCAAUGUGAGCCUAAACGUGUGUGUCGCAAAUAUGGCUAAAGCUGCUGUUUUAUGAUUGGCUGCUGCCCACACAUACUCAAUAUGCACCCUGCUGGCACUGAGAUGUGUGCAUGAGAGAGAGAGCGAGGGAGGGAGAGAGUCUGGGAUAUAAAGGGGGUUGACAUAAGUAUAAAAGAGGAGAGAACCACAGUGGUAUAGGAACAGGAAGAGAACAAUCAUUCACUUUUCAUAGCAGUGCCAGCAGCUGACAUCACACCACUCUAACAGCUGCAUCAGCAGAGAGCCACAGCCGGGCUCAGGAGGGCAACACCUGAGCUAACGGACGGUAACCAGGACGACGGCAGCGCCAGCGACAAUAACCCUGUCAACAACUCUUUGACCCCAAUACAGCCAACAGAUCCAGUUACCAUGGCAAUUAGCUCAUCGCCGCCGCUAACAGAGCUUGAAAGAGAAAAUUUGAUUAGCUGGAACAACCGAGAAUUAGAGGAACCCAAUUACCCAGAGGUCCAUGGGAUGCAGCAGCCAAGCAGGAAGGAGCCGGAGGUAGAAGAGCCGACAGAGGGAGACAAUGGAAAAACAGAUGGAGACGAGUGUGACUAUCUUGUCUUUGAUAUUGGACAGCAGAAGGGAGGAGAAGAAAUGGGGGGGUGGGGUGGAGGAAAAGCAGAAACAAGGAGUGAAGAUUUAGGGGGAAGAGGAGUUGAGGGAGAAGAUGAAGGGAGAGUAAAAAUAGAAGGUGAGUAUGAAGCGAUUGGAGAAAGAGAGAGAGAAGACUCUAAAGAAGAGGACGGGUGGAUAGGAAAGACGGUGGGGGAGAUGAAAGAUGAUGCUCUGGCAGAGCUGCCCUUCAUCUCUGACAGUCCAGUCUGUCCUUCAUCAUCAGAGCCCCUGGGUGGCACAUCCCUUCCUGCAGAGCAGCCUGCAAUAGCGGCCACGUUGCAGAAGGCCUGGGGUCACGACCUUGGAAACAGAGAUGACUUAAGCGAUGGUCACCUUAGUGACUGCCUCCAAGCUGAGCUGGCUAUCGUGUACUCGGACAGUGACGCAGGGGAGGACCAAUGGGCAGCCUUCGCGCCCUGUGAUGUCACCAACCAGGAAGAAGCAGAUGGAAAGAAUCAUGAUAGCAUCUGUGAUAUAGAGAGCAAGGAAGAGAAGAGAGAGGAAGAGAGUAGGGAGAGAGCGGAGGAUGAAGAUGAGUCAGUAGAGACUGGAGCAGAGGACCAGAGAGAGGAGGAAGUCGAGAAGGAGCAGGAAGAGAGGAGGGGAGGCGGGGAUGAUGAUGAAGAGCAGAUGAAGAUGAGGAGAGAUGUUUUUUUGCGCUCUCCCUCUGUCUGCUCUACAGCCAGCCCCACAGACCCUGACAGGAAGGUUCCUGUAGAUUUCUGUGUCCACCAAGACACCCUCAGUGAAAAUGUCUCCACUGAGCAUGUAGACUUUCUGUUGGCCUGCAAGCAGUGGAAGAAGAUGGAGGAGGAGGUCAAAGGUCAACCAUUCCCCAAACCGGGGCUGAGAGCUCAGGGGAGCUUCCAGGGCACCCAUACUUCACUAUACCCUCCCACUCGCAGCCCUCGCCUCAAACACAGGGAGAUCCAUCCACCAGUGCCAAGGGAGUCGCCCCUCUCCUCCACACUGUCCCCCAGUUCAGAGGACUCAGGCCUGGAUGACUCAUCAUACCGCAGCCCCCUGGAGGAGCCAGAGACCCCGGUGGAGAGAGAGAUCCGGCUGACUCUUGAGAGAGAGGAGCGACACCGCAGAGAGAGGGGAAUGAUUGCACAGGGCCUGACUAUAUCUAGACCAUCCACCCUUCAAACAGGACGAUCUCCACCCAGACCUCCGGCCUGCCGCACCCCUACCUUGUCCAUCUCCCCGUCCCCCUCCUGCUCCUCUUCCCUUCCCCGAUCAGUCUACCAUGAAAUGACAGCUAAUAAUGUUAUUAUCUUGGAGCCUGACUGCUCCAGCUCCGCCUCCAGGAACCGCCUACUCUCCUCUGCAAUUGGAGGCCUCUCCGAUUGGCCAACAGGCCUGGAUACAGUGCCUUCUGCCAACGUCAUUGUUGUGGAAACCUCCAAUCUGAUCAUUCGCAGCGCUUCCGAGUUCUGCCUAAGCUCCGCCCCUGUGUCUAUGGAAACCCAGGAGAGCACUUUCUCGUCAAAUCCAUUUUUCAAACUACGCUCUCUCAGCAGCCAGUCGCUGGUGGAGCAAGAGAUUCGCAUGGUGAGGCAGAGGGAGGAGGAGUGGAGGAGGCAGAGGGAUGAGAUGUGGAGGAGGAGGCAGGAGGAGGAGUGGAGGAAAGGGAGAGAGAGGUACGAAACAGUGCUUGUGUCUCCAGGCCUGGGCGAUAACAUCACUUUCAAUGUGCCAGAGGUUUCAGACAGAUGUGUAUCCUCCCCAUCGUCUCCCUCUAGGACCCGCAAAAUGGAACGAUCCAGUUUGUCUUGUGACCACAAGUGGUUUAGCUGA